RNAcentral lists this ribosomal RNA (496 nucleotides) under uncultured bacterium. Its description in RNAcentral is "bacterial SSU rRNA". It matches the Rfam family "Bacterial small subunit ribosomal RNA", at positions 369 to 882 of the family's 1533-position model. The record is from RNAcentral.
CAAUGGGGGCAACCCUGAUCCAGCAAUGCCGCGCGAGUGAUGAAGGCCUUAGGGUUGUAAAGCUCUUUCGGCGGGGACGAUGAUGACGGUACCCGCAGAAGAAGCCCCGGCUAACUUCGUGCCAGCAGCCGCGGUAAUACGAAGGGGGCGAGCGUUGUUCGGAUUUACUGGGCGUAAAGGGCGCGUAGGUGGUUUUGGUAGUCAGGCGUGAAAGCCCCGGGCUUAACCUGGGAAUUGCGCUUGAUACUCUGAGACUGGAGUACGGGAGAGGAGAGUGGAAUUCCCAGUGUAGAGGUGAAAUUCGUAGAUAUUGGGAAGAACACCGGUGGCGAAGGCGGCUCUCUGGACCGUAACUGACACUGAUGCGCGAAAGCGUGGGGAGCAAACAGGAUUAGAUACCCUGGUAGUCCACGCCGUAAACGAUGUGCGCUAGACGUUGGAAGGCUUAGCUUUUCAGUGUCGUAGCUAACGCGAUAAGCGCACCGCCUGGGGAGUA